Molecule: ribosomal RNA, 403 nt
Filed under: Verrucomicrobiota bacterium
Lineage: Bacteria; Pseudomonadati; Verrucomicrobiota
Description: Verrucomicrobia bacterium partial 16S ribosomal RNA
Rfam family: Bacterial small subunit ribosomal RNA
Source: RNAcentral
UGGGGAAUAUUGCACAAUGGGGGAAACCCUGAUGCAGCGACGCCGCGUGAGCGAAGAAGGCUUUCGAGUCGUAAAGCUCUGUCCUAUGAGAAGAUAAUGACGGUAUCAUAGGAGGAAGCCCUGGCUAAAUACGUGCCAGCAGCCGCGGUAAUACGUAUGGGGCGAGCGUUGUCCGGAAUUAUUGGGCGUAAAGGGUACGUAGGCGGUUUUUUAAGUCAGGUGUCAAAGCGUGGAGCUUAACUCCAUUAAGCACUUGAAACUGAAAGACUUGAGUGAAGGAGAGGAAAGUGGAAUUCCUAGUGUAGCGGUGAAAUGCGUAGAUAUUAGGAGGAAUACCGGUGGCGAAGGCGACUUACUGGGCUCAUUCUGACGCUGAGGAACGAAAGCGUGGGUAGCAAACAGG